AGGUACUUCGCGGAGCCAAGACUAACUAGCGAGCGGGAGCCGGGGACUUGGGUUUUAUCAAGGUUGAUGAACUAGAAGCGCUGCAGGUGCUUGAGGCUGUUUUCGAGUGCAGGAAGGCGAUUGAAUGUGAGUCACGUGAUACUGGAGGGUUCUAGGCCUCUUUUCGUCAAGGGAGGACGAGCGCCAAGCGAAAGAGCGUGACGGGGAUCGCGGACAAGAGGCAGUGA
Penaeus indicus is the source of this 227-nucleotide long non-coding RNA. RefSeq lists it as uncharacterized. The transcript is spliced from 5 exons. NCBI's taxonomy places the organism in Eukaryota, Metazoa, Arthropoda, Malacostraca, Decapoda, Penaeidae. The record is from RefSeq and is a predicted model, not a curated record.